This 492-nucleotide ribosomal RNA is filed under the name uncultured bacterium. RNAcentral's name for it is "partial 16S ribosomal RNA". It matches the Rfam family "Bacterial small subunit ribosomal RNA", at positions 29 to 507 of the family's 1533-position model. The record is from RNAcentral.
AGUGAACGCUGGCGGUAGGCCUAACACAUGCAAGUCGAACGGCAGCACAGUAAGAGCUUGCUCUUACGGGUGGCGAGUGGCGGACGGGUGAGGAAUACAUCGGAAUCUACUUUUUCGUGGGGGAUAACGUAGGGAAACUUACGCUAAUACCGCAUACGACCUACGUGUGAAAGCAGGGGAUCUUCGGACCUUGCGCGAUUGAAUGAGCCGAUGUCGGCUUAGCUAGUUGGCGGGGUAAAGGCCCACCAAGGCGACGAUCCGUAGCUGGUCUGAGAGGAUGAUCAGACACACUGGAACUGAGACACGGUACAGACUCCUACGGGAGGCAGCAGUGGGGAAUAUUGGACAAUGGGCGAAAGCCUGAUACAGCCAUACCGCGUGGGUGAAGAAGGCCUUAGGGUUGUAAAGCCCUUUUGUUGGGAAAGAAAAGCAGCAGGUUAAUACCCCGCUGUUAUGACGGUACCCAAAGAAUAAGCACCGGCUAACUUCGUG